RNAcentral lists this long non-coding RNA (4264 nucleotides) under Sus scrofa (pig). RNAcentral describes it as "lncRNA (ENSSSCG00040063119.1)". Lineage: Eukaryota; Metazoa; Chordata; Mammalia; Artiodactyla; Suidae. The record is from RNAcentral.
GUGAUCUCAACAAUAAGAUCAAGAGUCAACUUCUUAUCAGGAAAAACAAUGAAAGUUGGCCCCUUGAGACUGGGUGUUAAUAAGCCUGUAGCCAUCAAUGCACACUUAGGAUGUUGCAUCCUGACUUCUGCCCUUUUAAGGUCCUGCCGCUUGUUUAGCUGACAUUUACCAUUAAGUUCAAAUGAUAUUUAAACUCAGACCAAGGCAUCUGCAUUGACUCUCCUCUAGUUGUGGGCUUCAAAGACCCACUCCUUAGUAGUCAAACCAGGGUAGAUUCUUGCCCCACCGUCUACACUUGGAAUAGUCUUUGAGAGUUAGAGGGAACUUCUCUUUAACUUUUUUAGAAAAUGACUUUAGCUUUGAUUGGUGGAAGCUAAAGUAUUUUUUUUUUUUUUGAACAAAAGAAUGUUGAAUUCACUUCAAAAUGUAAACAACCCAGGAGGCAAAAACUCAUAGAAUAAAUGAUUUAUUAGUAACUAGGACGCAAUGACUUGCUUGCCUAAACUAACUUUAUUUUUGUACAUUUAGCAGAUAAACACAUUAGUCAUGAUCAGUCGGCACUGUACAAAAGAGAGAUUGCUAAAUUAAUCAAAUCAGCCAUAAAACAAGAAAGUUUCAGGGAAUUUUCCAGGUAAAAGGAAAAGAAAUACUUGUUUUCCAUAAUGGAAAAAAAAGUGUCUAUGUGUGUGUGUAUAUAUAUAUGUGUGUGUGUGUGUGUGUGUGUGUGUGUGUGAUAUCUGACACCCUUUUGAACAUAUUUGAGUAUCCAUAAAUUUGGAGAAUAAUUGAAUAAAAAGGAAACUAAAGGUUCAAUCUGAACUCCAUCUUAGUACAAAAUCAAGUUUUCAACAUUUUAAAAUGUUCUUCUUCUAAAAGACUCCAAAUUUAGGAGAGAUCUUGGGAUGUAAAAAGAAGGAAAUAUUUUCUUCACUAUCAAAAUCAGUUCUUCCAUGUGAAAGUUCCCUAACUGGCUGAUGACUUGCUACCAGUAUUUCACUGAGUAUCUAGGAAUAAAAGUUAAAAGAGAAAAUGAUAUAUGGUGACAGGAUGCUAAAGGGGAGACAUUGGGAGAAGAGGCCUGGAUUCCUGUUCCAUCUCUGCUGAUCUCUCUGGACAGUUUCCUCAUCUGUAAAAUGUGGUUUCUAGACUGGAUGACUUUAAAUUGCUCUUGAAGUUUGGCGAAUCCAUGAGCCUAACUUGGUGGUCUAAAAGAGAUCAAAAUCCACUUAAACUUGAAGGAUGGAAUUAAAAGCAUCACAAUGGAAGAACAUGGAAUGGAUUGUUGAACAUGUAAUAUGGGGAGUGGUCGUAAGUUAUAGGAAGUGAGGAUAGAAAGGAGGCUGGGGCAAAAUUGCCAAGGUUUUUUAAUGCCAGACUAAGUAGUUCAAACUUCAUACUAUUAAUAAAGAGUAACUUUUUGUUUUUGUUUUGUUUUGUUUUUGUAAGAAAGCAACAAGAUGGCCAGGUUGUUUUUGUCAUAUCUGAAUCUUUUGCAUUCCCAGAGGGUCUGGAUCAAACAUUCUAGAGUUCCCACGUGGCUCAGAGUCUCUGUUGUGGUACAGGCUGCUCUGGCACAGGUUUGACCCCAGGCCCAGGAGUGUGAGUGUAGCCAAAAAAGCCCAGCUUCUCCAGCUCUUUCACCUAUGCUUUAGUGACCAAACACAUUAUCCCUCUGAACCUAAUGGCAGGGAGUUGAAGUUACCUGCUCAAGAUCACAGCCAAUCGGUGGCAAAACCAAGAUCUGAACCAGCUGUCUGUGAAUUUUUGCUGGCCUUCCAUACAAUUAUUACUAUUGUUUACAAAAUUGGUUUUAGUUCUGUAUCUUAAGGGUUUGUGUUAGGGUAUGACAGCACCUGGGCCCAUAUGGCGUAUUUGCAAGUCUAAGAAAAUGGGGAGAGGUAGGGCUAGAAGAGAUGGAAGACAUAUCAGAAUCUCCAGAAAGAUGAAAGGGGAGAUAUCAUUUGAAAAGUCUACUCGAUGAGUUCAAUGCUGUAGUAUAACAUCAUAAAUUUAAGAAUGAUCCAAGAUUUUCAAAAUCAAAAUAAGAAUAUGACAAAGACAAACAUUUCUGUGAUAGGUGUUCCAAUCAUGGCUCAGUGAAAACCAAUCUGACUAGUAUCCAUGAGGUUGUGGGUUUAACCCCUGGCUUCUCUCAGUGGGUUAAGGAUCCAGCAUUGCCAUGAGCUGUGGUACAAGUCACAGAUGCAACUUGGAUCCGCUUUGCUGUGGCUGUGGCAUAGGCCAGCAGCUUACAGCUCUGAUUUGACCCCUAGCCUGGGAGCCUCCAUGUGCUGCAGGUGUGGCCUUAAAAAGACCAAAAUAAUUUCUGUGAUUUAUUACUGAUUUUAUUGUACUGCCAAGGUCACUUGGAAUUGAAAUUUUAUGAGUGAUGUUAAUAUUAUAGAAAAUAAUGAGAUAUUAAGACGCUUUUCAUCAUUUUGUAGAAGGAAUUUGACUCUCCCCUACCCCACCAUCUUUUUAAUAAACUAAACAAGUCCAGGGCAUCUUGAAGAAACAUAAGAAAAAUGGACUCAUAUUAUUAAUUCACCUGAACUGAGUUUUUAAUAUUCUUUAAUUUUAUGCAGUGAGAGUAAGUUUUGUUUCUCUGAGCUUUUCAGAAAUGAGUAGCAUUCCAGCAUUGGGUGGACCCAAAGCACUUUGUUCUUGUAGUGCUCUGAAUACCAAAAUUCCUUUUCUUUUUUUUUCCAAGAUAGUUAACUCAUCAUUUGAAACAGACCUGCAAGACCACAGAUGAGCUAUAGAUGAUAAUAGGGAUCAUACACCAAAACCAGAAAGACCCAAUUACCUUAAAUAAGGUGAAAAUGUGAGAGGAGAGGCAAAAAUAAACAAAACAGUCUGUUUAGAGCCCCUUUUUAGACUGCAUUAGUUUUCCUCUUGAAAAAUGUUGCAGGUAAAUAAAAUCAGUUGUUACUGAAUAAUAAGUAUAAUACAUGCCAUUUAUUUUCAUUCCAAAGCGUUUUUUAUUGUAUCUGAAGAAUUCCACAGAGGGCCAUUAAAAAUCCAUUAUAGUGUUUUUACUUAGUGAUCUGCAUUGCUUCCCAAACCAUGGUCAUUUUAUGCCCUGUUAGACUUAUAUGCAUUUCUAUUUCUUGCCUGGUCCAAAUUCAACAUAUUUACAAAUAAUUAUUUGAGAGGGGUUUUGUUGCAUUGUUGGUCAUUUCAUAAAAGCACAACAUAGUAAAGCUUUUUAGGAAAAAUUCUCUUAGGCCAAACUCCAUUUAAACAUGAAUUUAAGGCAAGUUUUUAUUUGCAAUAAUUGAAAGAAAUACUCAUCUUUUCCACUUAGGUGUAUUUUCACCUUUAUUUCUACUUUUACUUUCAGAUAAGUACAUUUUACCCUCUCUAAACACCUUUUCUGCUGAUCUAAUUUUUCUCCUGUCCUAACAGUCUAUUAAAAGGCCCAUUAAAAUUCUCCCUUCUCCAUAAACCUUGUCUAGAUAUAGCAGUCUUUUUCUUUCCAAUAAGAUUGUGCAUCUACUGUCUUGAACUAAUACAUCUUUGGGGAGAUCAGAAAGGGAGUGUACACCUGUUGAAUGGCCAUAGUUUUUCAUGGAUUUUUCUGGGUGUUAUAUACUUUGUCUCAUUUAAUUCACUUAGCAACCAGGGAAUGAGGGAUCAUUGUGUUUGCUGUUCAUAUGAAGAAACUGGGGCAUAGUGAGUUGAAGUAACUUUCUCAAAUUCCCUCUGGUAGAAAGCAACAGAGCAUAGAUUUCAAUCUUUGUAUCUUUUGCAGCAAAAUCUGUAUUUUUUGCACUUGGGUAUCUUUCUCUAUAUGUGUGUUUAUUUCAUUUUUUUCAUCUUUCUGCCAGCAAGGACUGUACAAUGAGAAUUUUUAUCUACUAGGUACCUGUCAUAUAGCUGACCACACGAUGAGCCUCAAAUCUGCAUUUAAGUCAUUAUGUAACUCAGUUGCAAUAUUGUCUUUUAUGGUUGCUUUUCCAUUUUUACUUAUUUUAAAUGUAUAAAUUUAUAAUUGGAAAUGGUGUAUUUUUCCCUUUAAGAAAAAAAAUUCAUAUUGACAAUGAAAGCUCUUUCAAAAAAUCUUGCUAUAUAUUUUCAAAUUAGUCAUAAACAAAGAAGAUUUCUCAUGUUUCCCUCAUUUAAUUUUUAUUUCAUAUAUUUUAUUCUGCGCAUGGUUUUUAACACUUCUUAUUUUAUACAGCUUUGUGUUCUCCUAAGACCCAUUUUUUUCCUCACAUCAUUUGAAUCGUCAUUGGAAAAAAACAAAAACAAAACAAAAAAA